This 546-nucleotide long non-coding RNA is filed under the name Setaria italica (foxtail millet). RNAcentral's name for it is "long non-coding RNA (SITA_LNC004929)". The record is from RNAcentral. Lineage: Eukaryota; Viridiplantae; Streptophyta; Magnoliopsida; Poales; Poaceae.
AAGGUACGAUAUAUUACAACCAUAGUUUGAAACAACUUAAUCAUGCAGGUCAGUGUGGUUCUAAGAAUUUAAAACCAGUCUGGAAGAAAAACAAUUAUUUAAGUUUCAAUCUAGAGUAUCAUGAGACUCAUAAGAUACCCUAGGUCUUCGGGGCUUCCUCUUCGGUGAGUCCCUGCUGGCUUUCUGAAAACAACAACAAGGGAUCCCCUGAGUACGAAGUACUCAGCAAGUCUUACCCGACUAACCAAUAUAAUAGUUUUCUUUGGAAUGCAUGUCAGCCUUUGGGUGUGCUUGGUUGACACAAUUUUUGCCGAAAAAGCUUACUACGAGUGAGGCCUUAGUUUUAUCUUUUAUUUUAGUUAAGUCAUUACCUAACCAUUCUAGAUGAUAACAGAAGUAAAAGCAACCACAGCUGUUAAGUCAUACAUUACUUGACAACAGGAGAUUUUAUAUCACAUGAGUUAUACUACGAUGCUCAACAGUGAUCAAGUGCAUUCAUAACCGAGAAUUGCGGCGAUCCGGAUCAAUUUACAUCCUGCAGGAGAG